GACGAACGCUGGCGGCGUGCUUAACACAUGCAAGUCGAACGGAAAGGCGCUGCGUUUGUGGGGUGCUCGAUUGGCGAAGGGGGGAGUAACACAUGAGUAAACUGCCCUUGACAUUGGGAUAACCUUAGGGAACUGGGGCGAAUAUCGGAGAUGAGCUCCUGCUGCAUGUGGUGGGAUGGAAAGUGUCGGCGGUUGUGGAUGUACUCGCGGCUUAUGAGCUUGUUGGUGGGGUAGUGGCUUACCACGGCUUUGACGGGUAGGCGGCCUGAGAGGGUGACCGGGCACAUUGGGACUGAGAUACGGCCCAGAAUGCUACGGGCGGCAGCAGUGGGGAGCAUUGCGCAAUGGGCGGGCGCCUGAUGCAGAAACGCCGCGUGCGGGAUGCCCGCCUUCUGGUUAUGAACCGCUUUCGCAUGUGAUGAAGACUGAGUGACGGUAACGGGUCAAGAAGCACCGGCUAACUACGUG
RNAcentral lists this ribosomal RNA (468 nucleotides) under uncultured bacterium. RNAcentral describes it as "partial 16S ribosomal RNA". It matches the Rfam family "Bacterial small subunit ribosomal RNA", at positions 28 to 507 of the family's 1533-position model. The record is from RNAcentral.